UAGAGACUUUUUAAGACUCAAACCCUUUGUGAACAUGCUAUGUGUUGCUUCGGCGGGUUUGCCCUCGGGGGGGCUAAAUGAUCUUCUAGAUCAACCUGCCGAAGGACUUUAAAACUCUUAAAUUUAAAGAAUUCUGAAUCUACUAUUAAAAAAGCA
RNAcentral lists this unclassified non-coding RNA (156 nucleotides) under uncultured fungus. Its description in RNAcentral is "sequence contains ITS1, 5.8S rRNA gene". The record is from RNAcentral. Lineage: Eukaryota; Fungi.